AGACCCGAAACCCGGUGAUCUAGCCAUGGGCAGGUUGAAGGUUGGGUAACACUAACUGGAGGACCGAACCGACUAAUGUUGAAAAAUUAGCGGAUGACCUGUGGCUGGGGGUGAAAGGCCAAUCAAACCGGGAGAUAGCUGGUUCUCCCCGAAAGCUAUUUAGGUAGCGCCUCGUGAAUUCAUCUCCGGGGGUAGAGCACUGUUUCGGCUAGGGGGCCAUCCCGGCUUACCAACCCGAUGCAAACUGCGAAUACCGGAGAAUGUUAUCACGGGAGACACACGGCGGGUGCUAACGUCCGUCGUGAAGAGGGAAACAACCCAGACCGCCAGCUAAGGUCCCAAAGUCAUGGUUAAGUGGGAAACGAUGUGGGAAGGCCCAGACAGCCAGGAUGUUGGCUUAGAAGCAGCCAUCAUUUAAAGAAAGCGUAAUAGCUCACUGGUCGAGUCGGCCUGCGCGGAAGAUGUAACGGGGCUAAACCAUGCACCGAAGCUGCGGCAGCGACACUCAGGUGUUGUUGGGUAGGGGAGCGUUCUGUAAGCCUGUGAAGGUGGCCUGUGAGGGUUGCUGGAGGUAUCAGAAGUGCGAAUGCUGACAUAAGUAA
RNAcentral lists this ribosomal RNA (602 nucleotides) under Salmonella enterica. Its description in RNAcentral is "partial 23S ribosomal RNA". It matches the Rfam family "Bacterial large subunit ribosomal RNA", at positions 711 to 1309 of the family's 2925-position model. Lineage: Bacteria; Pseudomonadati; Pseudomonadota; Gammaproteobacteria; Enterobacterales; Enterobacteriaceae. The record is from RNAcentral.